GAUGAACGCUGGCGGCGUGCCUAAUACAUGCAAGUCGAGCGAACGGGCGAGAAGCUUGCUUUUCUGAUGUUAGCGGCGGACGGGUGAGUAACACGUGGAUAACCUACCUAUAAGACUGGGAUAACUUCGGGAAACCGGAGCUAAUACCGGAUAAUAUUUUGAACCGCAUGGUUCAAAAGUGAAAGACGGUCUUGCUGUCACUUAUAGAUGUAUCCGCGCUGCAUUAGCUAGUUGGUAAGGUAACGGCUUACCAAGGCAACGAUGCAUAGCCGACCUGAGAGGGUGAUCGGCCACACUGGAACUGAGACACGGUCCAGACUCCUACGGGAGGCAGCAGUAGGGAAUCUUCCGCAAUGGGCGAAAGCCUGACGGAGCAACGCCGCGUGAGUGAUGAAGGUCUUCGGAUCGUAAAACUCUGUUAUUAGGGAAGAACAUAUGUGUAAGUAACUGUGCACAUCUUGACGGUACCUAAUCAGAAAGCCACGGCUAACUACGUG
RNAcentral lists this ribosomal RNA (497 nucleotides) under uncultured bacterium. RNAcentral describes it as "partial 16S ribosomal RNA". It matches the Rfam family "Bacterial small subunit ribosomal RNA", at positions 28 to 507 of the family's 1533-position model. The record is from RNAcentral.